This 460-nucleotide ribosomal RNA is filed under the name uncultured bacterium. RNAcentral's name for it is "partial 16S ribosomal RNA". It matches the Rfam family "Bacterial small subunit ribosomal RNA", at positions 338 to 795 of the family's 1533-position model. The record is from RNAcentral.
CCUACGGGAGGCAGCAGUGAGGAAUAUUGGUCAAUGGGCGGGAGCCUGAACCAGCCAAGUCGCGUGAGGGAAGACGGUCCUAUGGAUUGUAAACCUCUUUAGGCGGGGAGCAAUGCCGGGCACGCGUGCCCGGAGGGAGAGUACCCGCAGAAUAAGCAUCGGCUAACUCCGUGCCAGCAGCCGCGGUAAUACGGAGGAUGCGAGCGUUAUCCGGAUUUAUUGGGUUUAAAGGGUGCGUAGGCGGAUUUUUAAGUCAGCGGUAAAAUGUCCGGGCUCAACCCGGGCCGGCCGUUGAAACCGGGGAGCUUGAGUGGGCGAGAAGUAUGCGGAAUGCGUGGUGUAGCGGUGAAAUGCAUAGAUAUCACGCAGAACUCCGAUUGCGAAGGCAGCAUACCGGCGCCCGACUGACGCUGAGGCACGAAAGCGUGGGGAUCGAACAGGAUUAGAGACCCGUGUAGUC